AGUUAAUUAGCUUACUAAGCAUUUAUUUUGAAAAUAAAAGAAAGAGAAUUUCUCUAUUAACUU
Molecule: transfer RNA, 63 nt
Filed under: Tettigades opaca
Lineage: Eukaryota; Metazoa; Arthropoda; Insecta; Hemiptera; Cicadidae
Description: tRNA-Ser
Source: RNAcentral